Molecule: long non-coding RNA, 679 nt
Filed under: Physcomitrium patens
Lineage: Eukaryota; Viridiplantae; Streptophyta; Bryopsida; Funariales; Funariaceae
Description: long non-coding RNA (PPAT_LNC010893)
Source: RNAcentral
UUUGAUCCUAAUCCGAUCAAGGGAAGAACUCUCCAAGCAUUGCACAAUAUUGUAAACAUAUAAUGAUGAUAGUAUAAGGCCUUAAGCAUUUUGAUCUUGGGAUUUAGUCCUGUGCAGGUUGCCAGAGCGCGGUACGUCUUGUUGUGAUACUGGGCAGCAGCCGCAGGAGCAGGGAUUUUCAAGUCUGAUGACUGUCCAAUGUCAGUUGCUCGCCCCCGCUGCUCUUACGACAUCCACUACGAGACAGAAUAUAUGGAACUUCUGAUGAAUGACGCCCAAAAGAUUGACAAGUCCUCUGAUGCAGGUACUUGGGUGCAAUUUUUUAGAUGAGCUUUUGUGUGAUUGCAAGAGUUCACUUUGUGGGCUUCAUAAAUUGCCACCCUCUUCUUGAUCCUCCUGCUAAUGCUUCCGUCAUGCUUCCCUUUUACCGAUUCACUCAUGGGUACGUGUCCAGAGACGAGGGAAGUUGAAAUCACCGGCUAUCACUGUGUGCUUAUUGAAGCAAGGGUAGAGAGAACUAGAAGCCAUCAUGAAGUGCUGCAUCGGUGCCUCAUACCUUGACGAAGACCACAUUGCACUGCUAAUUACAAUGAUAACAACUCUACUUCCUUCUGCGGAUUCAUCAGAGACUGAUAAGAUUGUAAUCUCACGCUUACCUUUCAGUGAUGAUGACGAAGUU